RNAcentral lists this ribosomal RNA (468 nucleotides) under uncultured bacterium. RNAcentral describes it as "partial 16S ribosomal RNA". It matches the Rfam family "Bacterial small subunit ribosomal RNA", at positions 28 to 507 of the family's 1533-position model. The record is from RNAcentral.
GACGAACGCUGGCGGCGUGCUUAACACAUGCAAGUCGAACGGAAAGGCCCUGCUUUUGUGGGGUGCUCGAGUGGCGAACGGGUGAGUAACACGUGAGUAACCUGCCCUUGACUUUGGGAUAACUUCAGGAAACUGGGGCUAAUACCGGAUAGGAGCUCCUGCUGCAUGGUGGGGGGUGGAAAGUUUCGGCGGUUGGGGAUGGACUCGCGGCUUAUCAGCUUGUUGGUGGGGUAGUGGCUUACCAAGGCUUUGACGGGUAGCCGGCCUGAGAGGGUGUCCGGCCACAUUGGGACUGAGAUACGGCCCAGACUCCUACGGGAGGCAGCAGUGGGGAAUAUUGCACAAUGGGCGGAAGCCUGAUGCAGCAACGCCGCGUGCGGGAUGACGGCCUUCGGGUUGUAAACCGCUUUCGCCUGUGACGAAGCGUGAGUGACGGUAAUGGGUAAAGAAGCACCGGCUAACUACGUG